This 297-nucleotide long non-coding RNA is filed under the name Cucumis sativus (cucumber). RNAcentral's name for it is "long non-coding RNA (CSAT_LNC000632)". Lineage: Eukaryota; Viridiplantae; Streptophyta; Magnoliopsida; Cucurbitales; Cucurbitaceae. The record is from RNAcentral.
UUCGAAUGACUAUAAAAUAAUAUAAUUCGUAAAUAUGUGUAUUCUUCAGUUACAUUUUAAACUUCAUCCAAGGUAAUUGAGUAGUGAGCUAUGGUUUUGUAUAUACUACAAACAAAAUACACAAUUUUGACUUUGUUCUUCAUCCAAGCCCCUUCCAUUUCAAUAUCAAGAUGAUCCAUACGUUUUUCCACAAGAAAUUACUCAGCUGUGAGUCAUUUUCAGAGAAGAGAUUCACUAGUUUGAAGAUGAACAGGCAAGAUCAAAUCUCCAUCUUCAAUGGCUUUCAAAUCCCCUUCU